CAGGUUGAUUAAAAAGUCUGGUGUGAAAGGCAACUGCUUAACGGUUGUUUGCAUUGGAAACUGUUAAUCUAGAAUACAGUAGGGAGUUCUGGAAUUCAAUGUGGAGCGGUGAAAUGCGUAGAUAUCGGGAAGAACACCAGUGGCGAAGGCGCUCUGCUGGGCCAUCACUGACGCUCAUGGACGAAAGCCAGGGGAGCGAACGGGAUUAGAUACCCCUGUAGUCCUGGCCGUAAACGAUGAACACUAGGUGUCGGGGGAAUCGACCCCUCCGGUGUCGUAGCCAACGCGUUAAGUGUUCCGCCUGGGGAGUACGCACGCAAGUGUGAAACUCAAAGGAAUUGACGGUU
RNAcentral lists this ribosomal RNA (347 nucleotides) under Escherichia coli. Its description in RNAcentral is "bacterial SSU rRNA". It matches the Rfam family "Bacterial small subunit ribosomal RNA", at positions 572 to 918 of the family's 1533-position model. The record is from RNAcentral. Lineage: Bacteria; Pseudomonadati; Pseudomonadota; Gammaproteobacteria; Enterobacterales; Enterobacteriaceae.